UAGCCAAGUGAAAUAAUACUACGCAUGGAAAGGGUUUAAAAAGAGGGGAUUGUGUUUUUGACUGGUUGCCUGUCUACCAGAGGUCUGUUGUAGGGUUGUCAUGGUGAUGACUAGACCUCGCGUUUUGGGGGUAUACUGUCCCUUUAAGAGCUGCCGUAAGCCAGAGCACGCAUGCACUCAAGUUUGCGUCACACACUGAGCGCUGUGAGCGGGAGCACUAGAGAGUCAGAGACUGAAAAAGAUUCUGUGGCUAGCUACACAAGAGAGUUCCUAACGUGCGACGGGUGUAUGUUUAAUGGUCACGUGCUGUGAGAAGGACUGAAGAGCGGGUUGGCAGGGGAGAUCACUUGCUGUGUGAUUCCUGCGUGUACUUGUCCUAGCACAGUAGCUGUGUGGAGAAACCGAAACAGGUCACUACUGUUGUCUAUACUGUUUGAAUUUAAUUUGUACAUAUGAUAGUUACUGUUGUCUCAGACCCUGAAAGACAGAUUUAGGCUGAGCCAGUGGAAUAGUUACAUUUACCGUUUUCACUCAAAAUUAUAGUAUUAAAACUGUGCUCCUCCGAGUACAGUCGGAGAAUUAAAAAGCCCACAAAAGAGUAUUUCCUGUGUCCUGUCUCAUUCCCCAUGACCGGGCCACAUAGUUUGGUGUCAGAAGUGGGAUUCUCAGUUUAGUUUUGAGUUUCAGUAUAGAGAGACACAGUGAGUGGGGCUUUAUAGGCAACAGUAGUGGCUGAGAAGAUCCCAGUCCUACCCAGAGGGCGGCAACUGCAGUGUGGAUAUCCUGAGGUGGUUCUGUGCAGUGGCAGUUGGUACAACAGGAGCCGGCUUCAGCAGUUGGAUGAGGAGGGCGCCUGACACAGAUUUUGGACUGUUGAAUCUCAUCUACAAGUGACUGUGGGAAUCUGCUGCAGUAAAGACUCAGAGACAUUGCAGUAUGUCACAAGAGGACGAGGGGGAAGGUCCUUC
Molecule: long non-coding RNA, 968 nt
Organism: Oreochromis niloticus (Nile tilapia)
Lineage: Eukaryota; Metazoa; Chordata; Actinopteri; Cichliformes; Cichlidae
Exons: 3
Source: RefSeq, a predicted model, not a curated record